Molecule: ribosomal RNA, 253 nt
Filed under: uncultured bacterium
Lineage: Bacteria
Description: partial 16S ribosomal RNA
Rfam family: Bacterial small subunit ribosomal RNA
Source: RNAcentral
UACGUAGGGGGCUAGCGUUGUCCGGAAUCAUUGGGCGUAAAGCGCGUGUAGGCGGUUCGGUAAGUCCGCUGUGAAAGUCGGGGGCUCAACCCUCGGAUGCCGGUGGAUACUGUCGAGCUUGAGUACGGAAGAGGCGAGUGGAAUUCCUGGUGUAGCGGUGAAAUGCGCAGAUAUCAGGAGGAACACCGGUGGCGAAGGCGGGUCUCUGGGCCGAUACUGACGCUGAGGAGCGAAAGCGUGGGGAGCGAACAGG